GACGAACGCUGGCGGCGUGCUUAACACAUGCAAGUCGAACGGAAAGGCCUCUUUCGGGGGGUACUCGAGUGGCGAACGGGUGAGUAACACGUGAGUAACCUGCCCUUGACUUUGGGAUAACUUCAGGAAACUGGGGCUAAUACCGGAUAGGAGCUCCUGCUGCAUGGUGGGGGUUGGAAAGUUUCGGCGGUUGGGGAUGGACUCGCGGCUUAUCAGCUUGUUGGUGGGGUAGUGGCUUACCAAGGCUUUGACGGGUAGCCGGCCUGAGAGGGUAACCGGCCACAUUGGGACUGAGAUACGGCCCAGACUCCUACGGGAGGCAGCAGUGGGGAAUAUUGCACAAUGGGUGGAAGCCUGAUGCAGCAACGCCGUGGGCGGGAGGACGGCCUUCGGGUUGUAAACCGCUUUCGCUCAUGACGAAGCUUUGUGUGACGGUAGUGGGUAAAGAAGCACCGGCUAACUACGUG
Molecule: ribosomal RNA, 467 nt
Filed under: uncultured bacterium
Lineage: Bacteria
Description: partial 16S ribosomal RNA
Rfam family: Bacterial small subunit ribosomal RNA
Source: RNAcentral